GAUGAAGAACGUAGCGAAAUGCGAUAAGUAGUGUGAAUUGCAGAAUUCAGUGAAUCAUCGAAUCUUUGAACGCACAUUGCGCCCCUUGGUAUUCCAUGGGGCAUGCCUGUUCGAGCGUCAUUUGUACCUUCAAGCCUUGCUUGGUGUUGGGUGUUUGUCUCGCCUCUGCGCGCAGACUCGCCUCAAAACAAUUGGCAGCCGGCGUAUUGAUUUCGGAGCGCAGUACAUCUCGCGCUUUGCACUCAGAACGACGACGUCCAAAAGUACAUUUUUACACUCUUGACCUCGGAUCAGGUAGGGAUACCCGCUGAACUUAAGCAUAUCGAUAAGCGGAGGA
Molecule: unclassified non-coding RNA, 337 nt
Filed under: soil metagenome
Description: partial contains 5.8S ribosomal RNA, internal transcribed spacer 2, and large subunit ribosomal RNA
Rfam family: 5.8S ribosomal RNA (bases 1-120)
Source: RNAcentral